Molecule: long non-coding RNA, 338 nt
Filed under: Coccomyxa subellipsoidea
Lineage: Eukaryota; Viridiplantae; Chlorophyta; Trebouxiophyceae; Coccomyxaceae
Description: long non-coding RNA (CSUB_LNC000122)
Source: RNAcentral
GCGAGUCAGAGGAUGAUGAGGCAGAUCCUGCAAGCUCUUCCCGCACUGCAACCCCUCUGUCCCGGCUGACUCCCCCGGCAAAGGCUCCUGGCAGCGCUUCACCUGCAUCGAGUUCAGGCAACCCUGCAGCCACGGAAAGCACUGGCUUUGGUGCGAUCUUCACCCGGUGUACCCUUGUUCUGACUGCUUCAUACACCACCUGGAAGGCGCCGUGCAGAUCUUAAUAUGGGUCAAGUCCAGGGAUUUAUUCCAGUCCUCAUGUGUGCAGGGCCGACAUGGCUGCGAGGCGUUUUAGGGACAUCAAAGAAAGUUGAGAUUCCAUCAGAAGCACGAGCGGC